This is an RNA transcript of Brassica napus (rape), 1914 nucleotides long. It is a transcript of the gene named abscisic acid 8'-hydroxylase 1, with no coding region annotated. Lineage: Eukaryota; Viridiplantae; Streptophyta; Magnoliopsida; Brassicales; Brassicaceae. The record is from RefSeq and is a predicted model, not a curated record. The transcript is spliced from 10 exons.
UAGAUUUAAUGUCUUGUUGUGUAGCUUCUCAUCAACUGAAUUAUUUUCUGUAUAACAGUAUAUAUGCAUGCACGCACACACUUGCGCGAGCAUACAUAUAUACUCAACUCAAUAGAUUUAUAGUCUAAAGAAACAUCAUGAGGAGGGAAAAAGGAGAAACAUCACUCACUCGUUACAAAAUAUCCUCCUAUAUUUAUAGACUAAUUAAUAAGCUCGAUCCAAGAUUCUAUACUUCAAGAAUCAUAAUUAAAUCUUCUCUCUUUUUUAUGUGGAAACUUUCUUACUCUUUCAGACUGAAAAAGGAACUUUGUAAACAAAAAUAGAUGGACCAUCUUUCCCUCUGUCCCCUCGUAGUUCUCCUGCUGUGCUUAGUGAUACUAGCACUCAGUAAAAUAUUCAAAACCGUGAUCCAAGAUCAAGAGAAAUCAACGGCUGAUAUUCCUCCGGGAAGCCAUGGUUUUCCGGUGGUCGGAGAAACACUUCAGUUCAUGCUUUCCGUAAACAGCGGCAAAGGCUUCUAUGAGUUCGUUCGUAGUCGUCGUAUCAGGUACGGAAGUUGCUUUAGGACAAGUUUGUUUGGAGAGACGCACGUGUUCCUGUCGACGACUGAGUCAGCUCGGGCUGUUUUAAAUAACGAGUCAGGCAUGUUCACGAAACGGUAUAUAAAGUCCAUAGCUGCGCUUGUGGGUGACCGGAGCCUUCUUUGUGCUUCUCAACACCAUCACAAGAUUCUCCGUAGCCGUUUUAUCAACUUAUUCUCCAAAAAAUCGACGGCUCUGAUGGUUAGACACUUCGAUGAACUCGUCGUUGACGCGCUUAGUGGAUGGGAGCACCGUGGUACAGUGGUCUUGCUCACAGAUUUGCUCCAGAUAACAUUCAAAGCAAUGUGUAAGAUGUUAAUAAGUCUAGAAAACGAAGAAGAAUUGGGUUCAUUGCAAAGAGAUGUUGGCUUUGUUUGUGAAGCGAUGCUAGCUUUUCCUCUCAAUUUACCCUGGACUAGAUUUCACAAGGGCAUCAUGGCAAGGGGAAGAGUUAUGGAGGUGUUAGAAAAGAUAAUCAGAGAAAGGAGAAAUGAAACAAAUAGUCAUAAUAAUAAUUAUCAUGAAGAUUUUCUGCAGCAGCUUCUUGCAGUAGAUAGCGACGGCUCUGCUUCGUCUUCUGAUCAUUCUACUAAGUUGACUGAUGCUGAGAUUAAGGACAAUAUUUUGACCAUGAUCAUUGCAGGACAAGACACGACGGCUAGUGCUUUAACGUGGAUGGUUAAGUACCUCGGUGAAAAUCAGAAGGUUUUGAAUAUUCUGAUUGAAGAACAAACUCAGCUUGCUAAGCAGGCAUCACAUAAACCAUUUCUCGAACUAGAUGAUCUCACUGAAAUGACAUAUGCUUCAAAGAUGGUGAAAGAAUCUCUGAGAAUGGCGUCUGUUGUGCCUUGGUUCCCAAGACUAGUACUUCAAGACUGUGAAAUGGAAGGAUACAAGAUUAAUAAAGGAUGGAAUAUAAACAUUGACGCUAGAUCCAUUCAUCUUGAUCCUAACGUAUAUAGUGAACCUCACAAGUUCAACCCUUCAAGGAGGAAGCAAAAGCAAACAGUUUCUUAGCAUUUGGUAUGGGAGGAAGAACAUGUCUUGGACUUAAUAUGGCCAAAGCCAUGAUGGUAGUUUUUCUCCACCGUUUUAUAACCACUUACAGAUGGGAGGUGGUAGAUGGAGAUCCAAGCAUCGAGAAGUGGACAUUAUUUGCAAGAUUGAAGAGUGGAUAUCCGAUUCGUGUGUCACGUAGACUGUAAAUAUAAAAGUUUCAAAUUAGAUCUUAUAUGUGUAUAUAAAAAGACUCAACGAGUGUUCCUAUAUACGAUGUUUCAUAUCCAAAUGUAAUACUUACAACUUUGCAUUAAUGUCAUAUAUUGUCACUAUA